ACAUGAAGGCCUUUGGAAGCUGAGGUGCCACUGAGUGCUGCUGGCUCAGAGCAGGGCUGGCCAAGGGGCCUUCUCUGACAUCCCUUCUUCAUACAGGAAGAGAAACAUUUGUUCAUCUGAUGCUGCACCUGAAAUAAAGUUGCAUGGUCUGUUGAUAUUUUUAGUGCAGGUACGUGAUUUAAGGUUGAAGAGCAUUUUCCAACUAUUUGUCUUGUGCAUUACUGAAACAUAAAUGGUUGAAACAGCUUUCCAGUGACUGUCACACACUUCAGCUUGCCCAGAGGUGUCCUGACGUGUAAGGAGAGACGAGCAGGA
Serinus canaria (Common canary) is the source of this 315-nucleotide long non-coding RNA. RefSeq lists it as uncharacterized. The transcript has 3 exons. The record is from RefSeq and is a predicted model, not a curated record. NCBI's taxonomy places the organism in Eukaryota, Metazoa, Chordata, Aves, Passeriformes, Fringillidae.